AUCUCAAGUGACCAACUUGAGAAACACCAAAAAUAGAGACGAUACAAGAACACCCUUUGGGACAAAUAUUGUACCCAAAGAAACCUCACAAACACUCUUCUAUAAUAUACACUCUAAUUUUUGGACACUAACUACCACUCACAAAAUUGUGAGUAACUCUCAAAAUUCUCUCUCGGAUAUAACACACAAAAGAAUUGUUUUUGUGUN
This 207-nucleotide long non-coding RNA is filed under the name Nicotiana benthamiana. RNAcentral describes it as "long non-coding RNA (NBEN_LNC013686)". Lineage: Eukaryota; Viridiplantae; Streptophyta; Magnoliopsida; Solanales; Solanaceae. The record is from RNAcentral.